This 715-nucleotide ribosomal RNA is filed under the name uncultured Pseudomonadota bacterium. RNAcentral's name for it is "bacterial SSU rRNA". It matches the Rfam family "Bacterial small subunit ribosomal RNA", at positions 61 to 766 of the family's 1533-position model. The record is from RNAcentral. Lineage: Bacteria; Pseudomonadati; Pseudomonadota.
GUCGAACGGUAACAGGCGAAAGCUUGCUUUUGCGCUGACGAGUGGCGGACGGGUGAGUAAUACUUAGGAAUCUGCCCAGUAGCGGGGGACAACAACCGGAAACGGUUGCUAAUACCGCAUACGCCCUACGGGGGAAAGCAGGGGAUCUUCGGACCUUGCACUAUUGGAUGAGCCUAAGUCAGAUUAGUUUGUUGGUGGGGUAAUGGCCUACCAAGGCGACGAUCUGUAGCUGGUCUGAGAGGACGAUCAGCCACACUGGAACUGAGACACGGUCCAGACUCCUACGGGAGGCAGCAGUGGGGAAUAUUGCACAAUGGGCGCAAGCCUGAUGCAGCAAUGCCGCGUGUGUGAAGAAGGCCUGCGGGUUGUAAAGCACUUUCAGUAAGGAGGAAAAUCUCAAGGUUAAUACCCUUGAGCCUUGACGUUACUUACAGAAGAAGCACCGGCUAACUCCGUGCCAGCAGCCGCGGUAAUACGGAGGGUGCGAGCGUUAAUCAGAAUUACUGGGCGUAAAGCGUGCGUAGGCGGCAUGGUCAGUCGGAUGUGAAAGCCCCGGGCUUAACCUGGGAAUUGCAUUCGAAACUACCAAGCUAGAGUAUGCUAGAGGAAAGUGGAAUUCCCGGUGUAGCGGUGAAUGCGUAGAUAUCGGGAGGAACAUCAAUGGCGAAAGCAACUUUCUGGAGCAAUACUGACGCUGAGGUACGAAAGCGUGGGG